This 253-nucleotide ribosomal RNA is filed under the name uncultured bacterium. Its description in RNAcentral is "partial 16S ribosomal RNA". It matches the Rfam family "Bacterial small subunit ribosomal RNA", at positions 524 to 776 of the family's 1533-position model. The record is from RNAcentral.
GACGGAGGGCGCGAGCGUUGUUCGGAAUUACUGGGCGUAAAGCGCGCGCAGGCGGGAAGGUAAGUCUGGAGUGAAAUUCCGGGGCUCAACUCCGGAGCUGCUCUGGAUACUGUCUUUCUGGGGACCGGUAGAGGCCGGUGGAAUUCCCGGUGUAGCGGUGGAAUGCGUAGAGAUCGGGAAGAACACCCGUGGCGAAGGCGACUACCUGGCCUGUUCUUGACGCUGAGGCGCGAAAGCUAGGGGAGCAAGCGGG